AUGUUCUUGCAUUGCUCUGUCCAAACAAAGAUUUUUCAUUCGUGCUGACAUCUCACAACUCUGUGAUACUGAAGUACAAGUUAAUGUUGAAGCUGUAGAUAAAGAUUCAAAUGAUGUUGAUCUCCUUGACGCACUAAAUUCACUUAACAGUACUCCUUCAUUAGUACCAUUCCCCACAUCUUCCUUGGAAUUUCCACUCAUAUCCAUACUACGUAGUUCUAAUGA
Molecule: unclassified non-coding RNA, 225 nt
Filed under: Hevea brasiliensis (rubber tree)
Lineage: Eukaryota; Viridiplantae; Streptophyta; Magnoliopsida; Malpighiales; Euphorbiaceae
Source: RNAcentral